GUAGGUGAACCUGCGGAGGGAUCAUUACCGAGUUUACAACUCCCAAACCCCUGUGAACAUACCAAUUGUUGCCUCGGCGGAUCAGCCCGCUCCCGGUAAAACGGGACGGCCCGCCAGAGGACCCCUAAACUCUGUUUCUAUAUGUAACUUCUGAGUAAAACCAUAAAUAAAUCAAAACUUUCAACAACGGAUCUCUUGGUUCUGGCAUCGAUGAAGAACGCAGCAAAAUGCGAUAAGUAAUGUGAAUUGCAGAAUUCAGUGAAUCAUCGAAUCUUUGAACGCACAUUGCGCCCGCCAGUAUUCUGGCGGGCAUGCCUGUUCGAGCGUCAUUUCAACCCUCAAGCCCUCGGGUUUGGUGUUGGGACUCGCGAGUUAAAUCGCGUUCCCCAAAUUGAUUGGCGGUCACGUCGAGCUUCCAUAGCGUAGUAGUAAAACCCUCGUUACUGGUAAUCGUCGCGGCCACGCCGUUAAACCCCAACUUCUGAAUGUUGACCUCG
This 497-nucleotide ribosomal RNA is filed under the name Fusarium sp. FLS-2010. RNAcentral's name for it is "eukaryotic LSU rRNA". The stretch from base 176 to 329 matches the Rfam family "5.8S ribosomal RNA". Lineage: Eukaryota; Fungi; Ascomycota; Sordariomycetes; Hypocreales; Nectriaceae. The record is from RNAcentral. RNAcentral also lists the same sequence under 1 other name.